Molecule: ribosomal RNA, 429 nt
Filed under: Chloroflexota bacterium
Lineage: Bacteria; Bacillati; Chloroflexota
Description: Chloroflexi bacterium partial 16S ribosomal RNA
Rfam family: Bacterial small subunit ribosomal RNA
Source: RNAcentral
UGGGGAAUAUUGCACAAUGGGCGCAAGCCUGAUGCAGCCAUGCCGCGUGUAUGAAGAAGGCCUUCGGGUUGUAAAGUACUUUCAGUCGGGAGGAAGGUGUCAAGGUUAAUAACCUUGGCAAUUGACGUUACCGACAGAAGAAGCACCGGCUAACUCCGUGCCAGCAGCCGCGGUAAUACGGAGGGUGCAAGCGUUAAUCGGAAUUACUGGGCGUAAAGCGCACGCAGGCGGUUGAUUGAGUCAGAUGUGAAAUCCCCGGGCUUAACCCGGGAAUUGCAUCUGAUACUGGUCAGCUAGAGUCUUGUAGAGGGGGGUAGAAUUCCAUGUGUAGCGGUGAAAUGCGUAGAGAUGUGGAGGAAUACCGGUGGCGAAGGCGUCCCCCUGGACAAAGACUGACGCUCAGGUGCGAAAGCGUGGGGAGCAAACAGG